GCAGGCUAACAUCUGUAACAGAGAUUGAAAAUAAUUUAGGUUGCAACAUGUACAUAGCUUACACACCGGAGAUCGUGUGUACUUGCCUAUGUCAGUAAGGCUGGUGUGUGACAAAAGCAAAUGUAUGUAAAGACUCAGCCAGUGAAUUAAAGGAGGAAACUUUGCAUUUGAGAUUUCCUUCAUGGCUUCUGGUUAGAGACUUUGCUCCAGAAAAGGGACCAGUUCUCCAACUCUCAAACUCAUUUUAUUUCAUCACUUUCACCAACUCAUCAGUAAGUAGUACACAUAUAAACAAGAGGCCAAUAGGGAAACAUUCUAUUCUGGCUUUGAGCCAGGACACAAGUAAGACAGACUGA
RNAcentral lists this long non-coding RNA (356 nucleotides) under Fukomys damarensis (Damara mole-rat). Its description in RNAcentral is "lncRNA (ENSFDAG00000032241.1)". The record is from RNAcentral. Lineage: Eukaryota; Metazoa; Chordata; Mammalia; Rodentia; Bathyergidae.